GCAAGUCGAGCGGUAACAUUUCAAAGCUUGCUUUGAAGAUGACGAGCGGCGGACGGGUGAGUAAUGCUUGGGAAUAUGCCUUAUGGUGGGGGACAACAGUUGGAAACGACUGCUAAUACCGCAUAACGUCUACGGACCAAAGGGGGGGAUCUUCGGACCUCACGCCAUAAGAUUCGCCCAAGUGGGAUUAGCUAGUUGGUGAGGUAAUGGCUCACCAAGGCAACGAUCCCUAGCUGGUCUGAGAGGAUGAUC
Molecule: ribosomal RNA, 252 nt
Filed under: uncultured bacterium
Lineage: Bacteria
Description: partial 16S ribosomal RNA
Rfam family: Bacterial small subunit ribosomal RNA
Source: RNAcentral